This 79-nucleotide small RNA is filed under the name Escherichia coli. RNAcentral's name for it is "partial RtT sRNA". It matches the Rfam family "RtT RNA", at positions 1 to 77 of the family's 130-position model. From Rfam's summary of the family: This family represents a bacterial cis-regulatory element known as RtT RNA. The exact function of RtT is unknown although it is thought that it may be involved in changing the cellular response in relation to amino acid starvation. Lineage: Bacteria; Pseudomonadati; Pseudomonadota; Gammaproteobacteria; Enterobacterales; Enterobacteriaceae. The record is from RNAcentral.
AUUCUGCCCAUGCGGGGAAGGAUGAGAAGCUUGACCAAGGUUCGACUCGAGCGCCAGCGAGAGAGCGUUGCCGCCAGGC